GAUGAACGCUGGCGGCGUGCCUAAUACAUGCAAGUCGAGCGAACAGACGAGGAGCUUGCUCCUCUGACGUUAGCGGCGGACGGGUGAGUAACACGUGUAUAACCUACCUAUAAGACUGGGAUAACUUCGGGAAACCGGAGCUAAUACCGGAUAAUAUAUUGAACCGCAUGGUUCAAUAGUGAAAGACGGUUUUGCUGUCACUUAUAGAUGGAUCCGCGCCGCAUUAGCUAGUUGGUAAGGUAACGGCUUACCAAGGCAACGAUGCGUAGCCGACCUGAGAGGGUGAUCGGCCACACUGGAACUGAGACACGGUCCAGACUCCUACGGGAGGCAGCAGUAGGGAAUCUUCCGCAAUGGGCGAGAGCCUGACGGAGCAACGCCGCGUGAGUGAUGAAGGUCUACGGAUCGUAAAACUCUGUUACUAGGGAAAAACAAAUGUGUAAGUAACUAUGCACGUAUUGACGGUACCUAAUCAGAAAGCCACGGCUAACUACGUG
Molecule: ribosomal RNA, 497 nt
Filed under: uncultured bacterium
Lineage: Bacteria
Description: partial 16S ribosomal RNA
Rfam family: Bacterial small subunit ribosomal RNA
Source: RNAcentral